CACCUCUUGCAAACUAUAAGAGGCACCGCCUGCCCUGUGACGAAAGUUUAACGGCCGCGGUAUUUUGACCGUGCAAAGGUAGCGUAAUAACUUGUCUUUUAAAUGAAGACCUGUAUGAAUGGCACGACGAGGGCUAAACUGUCUCCUCUCCCCAGUCAAUGAAAUUGAUCUCUCCGUGCAGAAGCGGGGAUACCCCCAUAAGACGAGAAGACCCUAUGGAGCUUUAGACACCAGGGCAGACUACGUCAACAACCCUUUCAGCCAAGGAAGGUAAACUAUGUAACCUCUGCUCCCAUGUCUUUGGUUGGGGUGACCAAGGGGACCUACACAACCCCCACGCGGAAAGGAGCAUACCGACCCGAAGCUAGAGCCACAGCUCUAACUAACAGAACUUCUGGCCACAGAGAUCCGGCAGCGCCGAUCAACGGACCGAGUUACCCUAGGGAUAACAGCGCAAUCCUCUUCUAGAGCCCAUAUCGACAAGAGGGUUUACGACCUCGAUGUUGGAUCAGGACCUCCUAAUGGUGCAGCCGCUAUUUAGGGUUCGUUUGUUCAACGAUUAAAGUCCU
This 569-nucleotide ribosomal RNA is filed under the name Bryaninops ridens (Ridens goby). Its description in RNAcentral is "partial 16S ribosomal RNA". It matches the Rfam family "Bacterial large subunit ribosomal RNA", at positions 1817 to 2597 of the family's 2925-position model. The record is from RNAcentral. Lineage: Eukaryota; Metazoa; Chordata; Actinopteri; Gobiiformes; Gobiidae.